Molecule: long non-coding RNA, 851 nt
Organism: Chiloscyllium plagiosum (whitespotted bambooshark)
Lineage: Eukaryota; Metazoa; Chordata; Chondrichthyes; Orectolobiformes; Hemiscylliidae
Source: RefSeq, a predicted model, not a curated record
UUUUCAAAAAUUCAAAAAAAAAGACCCCGACCGCCGCCGCCAACGGCCAAACUCCCAGCUUCUUCCACCCUUUUCAACAAAUAUCAGAUGCUCCAUUGAAUCUACAUAAAUUGCUGAAGAAAAUAUGAUCUUUUUGUUUCAGUUCAAAAUCCUGAAACUCGCUCCUUCACCAGCAUGGUGGGUGUGCUUAAAUGUGGAUUGCAGCAGUUUGAGAAGGCAACUGACUGCUAUCUUUUCUGAGGAUGGUUGGAGAUGGGCAAUAAAUGCCAACAAUAGCCACAUCUUGUGAAUAGAUGAGAGAAAAACCUGUUUUUCUUCCUCCCUUCUCAACAUCCGAGGUUCCAAACUCUGUUCAAAUGAAACAAUGAUUCAAAUUAGUAUUUAGUAUAGUCGCUGCUCAUGAUGCAGUCUCUUCUAAAUUUUAAUAAACCAAUUGAUCAUUGGUGACUUUUGCUCAGUCUCGAAAGCUGACUGAGCUUUUGGUUGCUUGUCAUUUUAGUUCGCUGUUCCACUCCCUAUCUGUCCACAAUGGCUUAAUUGGUAGGAUCCUUUAUCUUUGAUUUUAGAGAUGCCAGUGUUAGACUGGGGUGUACAAAGUUAAAAAUCACACAACACCAGGUUAUAGUCCCACAUGCGCGCACACAUCUAUAAGUUUGUGGGGUGAAUUUGUACUUGCAGAUUUACAUUUCACUCAAACUGCAUGAAUCAAUGUAAGAUUUUCUAAAUUUAUUUUUUUUUAGAUUAGAAUCCGUCUAAACAUUGUAGCACAGACUGUAUCACACAGGGGAACCCACACCUUCAAUACAUUAUCUGGACUGACAGACACCAUUUGUUAAAAUUCACUUGAGAAU